GACGAACGCUGGCGGCGUGCUUAACACAUGCAAGUCGAACGGAAAGGCCCUGCUUUUGUGGGGUGCUCGAGUGGCGAACGGGUGAGUAACACGUGAGUAACCUGCCCUUGACUUUGGGAUAACUUCAGGAAACUGGGGCUAAUACCGGAUAGGAGCUCCUGCUGCAUGGUGGGGGUUGGAGAGUUUCGGCGGUUGGGGAUGGACUCGCCGCUUAUCAGCUUGGUGGUGGGGUAGUGGCUUACCAAGGCUUUGACGGGUAGCCGGCCUGAGAGGGUGACCGGCCACAUUGGGACUGAGAUACGGCCCAGACUCCUACGGGAGGCAGGAGGGGGGAAUAGUGCACUAUGGGCGGAAGUCUGAUGCAGCAACGCCGCGUGCGGUAUGAGGGCCUUGGGGGUGUAAACCGCUUUCGCCUGUGACGAAGCGUGAGUGACGGUAAUGGGUAAAGAAGCACCGGCUAACUACGUG
This 468-nucleotide ribosomal RNA is filed under the name uncultured bacterium. RNAcentral describes it as "partial 16S ribosomal RNA". It matches the Rfam family "Bacterial small subunit ribosomal RNA", at positions 28 to 507 of the family's 1533-position model. The record is from RNAcentral.